CACAGACCCAGCACCAUUUAUUGAGAAGACAAUCUCUUUCCCCUGCACUUCAGUCAUUCCAUUAAAAAAAACUGACUAUCAUUUUGAAUGAUAGCUAAGAACUACUCCACCUGGCCCAGAUUCUUUGGCGUGUGUCUCUGCUCAGCUCCGAUGAAUGCAGGAAUCCCUAAUCAGAUGACUGCAAUCACAAGACUCCCCUCCAGCAGGCUGGAAUGAGGCUGUGAGGCUCCAGCAGCCGUUUUGUGCCACGAGGCAGUAGAAACCUGGGUUCCUGAUGACUGUGGAGCUGCCGAACUAAUCUGGACCUCCAGAUUCCAUACCUGCAAGACACAUGAACAUCUGUCUUAUGCCGUGGAAACAGAAAUCUAGUGGAGGAUUCUGAUCCCUAGGGAAUGUAGGGCCACUGGACCCAAUUGCCCUAUAAUCUUGUGUGGUAUUUCCCUGCCCCUGCUCAACUUCAUUGGAUGGUAUUGCCUUGGUCUUUGUUUCUUGAGGAGUCACAGAAAGAAAGACACAGACCAGGACUGGGAGGUAGGGAAGGAGGGAGCAGCUGGGGGGCAGGUGUGUAGUGGUGCAUCAUAGCAGCAAAGGGAGGUAAAGGUUCUAGGAAGGGGUGGUCAAUUGUGUCUAAUGAGAUCCAGCCAGGUGGAGGAGGAAGAGGGCUGGGAAGAGCCCAUUAAAUUUAAUGACCUCAGUGACAGUUUUAUCUGAGUGAUGGGGCAGAUGCCAGCUUGCAGAAGGUUUGGGAACAAGUCAGUGAUUAUGUUGGUUAAGGGAAGGAGAGAGGAAAAAAAGAGAGAUAGCUUUAAGUGGAAGCCAGGCCAAAGGAAAGCAUUUUGAGAAGGAAAUCAGUGGUUAGGGAGAGGUUAAAAAUAAGAAAGGGAAUCAUGACCUACAUAAUGCAAGGCAUCUGAAUGUGAUGAUUUCCUCCUUUAGGCUUGGUUCUGGUGUGCAUUUCCAGGGCUAAGCUGACUGGCCAGGAAGCAGGGAGCAAAGGGGGUUGGACACAGCCAGCAAAUCACGCAGCAUUAACUGGGCUGCGAGGCCGGAUCCUGAGUGGGCAAGCAGGUGGCAGCUGAAGUAUUGUGAAUCGAGAGCCUGAAAUUCUUCAGGAUCUUCUAAGAUUAUCCAUUUGAUUGGGUCAUGGAAUUAAUGUGGAUAAGCCUAGUUGAUCAACCUGAGUAGAGGGUGCUGUCACCUGCACAACACCUACCACAACUUCCUAGAACCUAGUGGCCGAGCUUGUUAAGUGUCCCCAAAUGCCCAUUCUCUCCUUCCUUUUAGUCAAGGAGCCAUGAAUUUUAGGGAAGAACAUGAUCAUUUAGCUCAGGACCACAGUUCCCAGACUCCCUGCAGCUGGAUGUGGAUGUCUACUCAGUUCUUGCUAAAACGAUGUGUGCAAUUUCCAGAGCACAUCCUUAUAUGGAAGUUAUUUGCAGUGAACAUUGUCUGUUUCCUCCUUUCAAUGAGGUGGAACUGGAAGUGCUGGAGAUGAGCUGCUGUGGCUGUAUGGACAAAGGCAAGAUCCUAUGGGAUGGCCAAGCAACCAGACAGAAGAACUCUUGAGACCUUGAGGAAAAGAACUGCCCGCAACUGCUCUUGACACUCUCUCCCUCUGGCCUGUUGUGUGGGAGAGAAAUAAACUUCUAUUUUAU
This 1655-nucleotide long non-coding RNA is filed under the name Homo sapiens (human). RNAcentral's name for it is "HSALNT0291339". The record is from RNAcentral. Lineage: Eukaryota; Metazoa; Chordata; Mammalia; Primates; Hominidae.